Molecule: unclassified non-coding RNA, 286 nt
Filed under: uncultured Bordetella sp.
Lineage: Bacteria; Pseudomonadati; Pseudomonadota; Betaproteobacteria; Burkholderiales; Alcaligenaceae
Description: partial 16S-23S ribosomal RNA intergenic spacer
Rfam family: Bacterial small subunit ribosomal RNA
Source: RNAcentral
UUUCGAUCCUGGCUCAGAUUGAACGCUGGCGGGAUGCUUUACAUGCAAGUCGAACGGUAGCACGGACUUCGGUCUGGUGGCGAGUGGCGAACGGGUGAGUAAUGUAUCGGAACGUGCACAAAAUGGCGGGGGAUAACUACGCGAAAGCGUAGCUAAUACCGCAUACGCCCUUCGGGGGAAAGCGGGGGACCUUCGGGCCUCGCACUAUUAGAGCGGCCGAUAUCGGAUUAGCUAGUUGGUGGGGGUAACGGCUCACCAAGGCGACGAUCCGUAGCUGGUUUGAAGA